UCGGUGUAAUUACGGCCCAGUUGGAGCGGAGUCUCGCGAGUGUUGGACGUGGGAUUUAGAGAAAGGCCGCGAAGGACAGAAGGGAAGAUAAAUGCAGCUACAGUUUACUGAGUCGCACUUUUACUUCCUGGCCAGACAGCUUUGAGUCUCAACUUAAGCCACUGCUCUUCUGAUCACGGUGUAAUGAGGAACAGCUGCGAGUGAACAACUUGGUGGGAGUUCUCUAAGAAAGCAACCGAGGCUUCAAGCAUGAAGAGGUCAGAGAUGUUGGUACCGUCAGCAGUGCCGUGGGCCAGAAACAGAGUUCCUCCCUCAAGACCUUUCAUGCCGGGCAGCACUUUGGAUGCCUGAAAAUGAAAUGGAGAGGUGAAUGUCGAAGACCUUGACAGUACAGGAUGGCGUUCUGUGCGUUUGGACUGAUGUCGGCGUCGAAGAACAAGCAGUCUUUC
Molecule: long non-coding RNA, 449 nt
Organism: Xiphophorus maculatus (southern platyfish)
Lineage: Eukaryota; Metazoa; Chordata; Actinopteri; Cyprinodontiformes; Poeciliidae
Exons: 4
Source: RefSeq, a predicted model, not a curated record